GACGAACGCUGGCGGCGUGCUUAACACAUGCAAGUCGAACGGAAAGGCCCUGCUUUUGUGGGGUGCUCGAGUGGCGAACGGGUGAGUAACACGUGAGUAACCUGCCCCUGACUUUGGGAUAACUUCAGGAAACUGGGGCUAAUACCGGAUAGGAGCUCCUGCUGCAUGGUGGGGGUCGGAAAGUUUCGGCGGUUGGGGAUGGACUCGCGGCUUAUCAGCUUGUUGGUGGGGUAGUGGCUUACCAAGGCUUUGACGGGUAGCCGGCCUGAGAGGGUGACCGGCCACAUUGGGACUGAGAUACGGCCCAGACUCCUACGGGAGGCAGCAGUGGGGAAUAUUGCACAAUGGGCGGAAGCCUGAUGCAGCAACGCCGCGUGCGGGAUGACGGCCUUCGGGUUGUAAACCGCUUUCGCCUGUGACGAAGCGUGAGUGACGGUAAUGGGUAAAGAAGCACCGGCUAACUACGUG
This 468-nucleotide ribosomal RNA is filed under the name uncultured bacterium. RNAcentral describes it as "partial 16S ribosomal RNA". It matches the Rfam family "Bacterial small subunit ribosomal RNA", at positions 28 to 507 of the family's 1533-position model. The record is from RNAcentral.